RNAcentral lists this ribosomal RNA (429 nucleotides) under Bacteroidota bacterium. RNAcentral's name for it is "Bacteroidetes bacterium partial 16S ribosomal RNA". It matches the Rfam family "Bacterial small subunit ribosomal RNA", at positions 355 to 776 of the family's 1533-position model. Lineage: Bacteria; Pseudomonadati; Bacteroidota. The record is from RNAcentral.
UAGGGAAUCUUCCGCAAUGGACGCAAGUCUGACGGAGCAACGCCGCGUGAGUGAAGAAGGAUUUCGGUUCGUAAAACUCUGUUGUUAGAGAAGAACAGCGCAUAGAGUAACUGUUAUGCGUGUGACGGUAUCUAACCAGAAAGCCACGGCUAACUACGUGCCAGCAGCCGCGGUAAUACGUAGGUGGCAAGCGUUGUCCGGAUUUAUUUGGCGUAAAGCGAGCGCAGGCGGUCAAUUAAGUCUGAUGUGAAAGCCCCCGGCUCAACCGGGGAGGGUCAUUGGAAACUGGUUGACUUGAGUGCAGAAGAGGAGAGUGGAAUUCCAUGUGUAGCGGUGAAAUGCGUAGAUAUAUGGAGGAACACCAGUGGCGAAGGCGACUCUCUGGUCUGUAACUGACGCUGAGGAUCGAAAGCGUGGGUAGCAAACAGG